GCAUAUUAAAGAGUAAUGAAUCACACACUCAGUCACAGGGUCGCCGGCUAUGAAUGUGUUCUCUGUUGGUUUUCCUGGAGCCUGGAGUUUACUAACUGAUGACGCAGGCUGGACUUGAUCAGAGACAUGUGUUGCAGUCUGGACUCCAUGCCGAGGAGUCGGUUCUGCGUACAGUCUUCGGGGGAGUUGUCUCCGUGUUUGGACGAGAAGAGUUUGGAGACUCCGUAAAACUAAAGAGGACCUGCGCCGCGGGGCGCGCCGGCAGGACGACUCCUGCAAGGGACGAUUUAAAGGCAAAGCGAGAAGUUUGGUGGAAAGUAAAUGGGAAAAAAAGUCACUCUAGGCGAGUGAAUCUCAUAGGUGAGAAAGAAAUCCCACUAAAGUUUCAUGUGCUGUAUUAUUUGUAAAAGCUAACAUAAACAUGCGGUAUACAUGCCAAUCAUAUCUGACCUAUGACACUCAUUAAUGUACAUUUCAUACAUUCAUAAUGAAAAAUAAGGCCUUUUUUUAAUUAAAGUAAAUAAAACAUGAAACUUUGAUUGUACAUAAAAACAUUAGGAGAAAAAUGUGCAAAAGAGGCAAAUGAAUCUUUGUCAUGUGCAGCAAGGGAUGUUGGGAUUACUGUCAUACUCAGAAAAUAUUGGUCAAGGAGUCAUUUUGGGUUCUUGGGUGGACUACACCUUUUCAUGCAGUUUGUUCAACAAAUACGCUUAGUUUUUCUUUUCUACACUGGUUGGUUGAAGUUCUUCCAUCUUCAGAGUAAAUGAAACUAACCCUGGACCAUCCAGGUAUUCUGGAAUCUUUUUAAUCUCUUGUUUUACUAAACAUUUGCUUUGUUGUGCAACGACUUUGUUUUUAUCCAAAUCUGUACAGUGAUUU
RNAcentral lists this long non-coding RNA (879 nucleotides) under Oryzias sinensis (Chinese medaka). RNAcentral's name for it is "lncRNA (ENSOSIG00000011182.1)". The record is from RNAcentral. Lineage: Eukaryota; Metazoa; Chordata; Actinopteri; Beloniformes; Adrianichthyidae.